UUGUCAUCUUGUUGCUCACUAAAAACAAGUUCCCAACAACUCAUAAUUAUACCUUUCUAUGAGUCCCUCAUAGGAUGUCUCUCGUAUGUAUGGCAUUGCCUUAAACAGUCCCACCUCUGCCUCCUAGUGAUAUUUUCAUUGCAUUUCGAUCUUUGUGUGAUAGAUUCAAACUAUAAUCUUACCUUAUGUGUUCUUUGCUAGCAUAUUGUAAGGCCUCUAUCACAUCUGAUUGUGUUCACUCCUUUAGUAAUUGAUCUUCGUCCAUCUGUUCUUGAGUCACACAUGGAUAAAGCACAGCCUGGGAUAAUCCAUUGACCAGCAGCUCUCAAAGUCCACUAACUUCACUGGUGGUUUUGUGUGCCAUUGUAAGGAUCAUAGGCCUCUACCCCC
This 390-nucleotide long non-coding RNA is filed under the name Musa acuminata (dwarf banana). RNAcentral's name for it is "long non-coding RNA (MACU_LNC001993)". Lineage: Eukaryota; Viridiplantae; Streptophyta; Magnoliopsida; Zingiberales; Musaceae. The record is from RNAcentral.